CUGAGAUAAUAUUUAACAGAAACACAUCAAUAAUAAACCAGUUAUUGAUGUUCUGUGUCUGUGAUGGUGCUAAGCGCAAUGAGACAUAUUUUCUCAAUUCCUCAUGACGAUCCUGUUCAUUAGGUAACAUUACUCCCACAUUUCCAGAUGAGAGGCAAAGUGGAAAACUCCAGCAUCAUCAUCACCACGUCUUUGGUGGUUAGCAGUCAUGUAAUUCUUCAUGUAACACAGGCAUUUUAUGCACCUUAUCUCACGUAGUCUUCACACUUAAGAGGAGUUUUACAUCUCUGUUCACACAUCCGUUUGGUGAGAUGGUUGGGUUGAUGUUCUCUGGACGGACAUUAUGGAGCUCAUCACUUUAUGCUUUCCUUUUGAAGUCUUCAUGGAUAAAGAGAGGAAGGAAGCCAUGGAUAUCACAAAAGGAUGAGCCGAGAAAGAGCGGUCCACUGCUGAGAGAACAACUUGAAGUCAAGUCCCCACUGAUCCGGGAAGGUCAUCUGUAGCCCUCAUCCCCUUCUUAGAAACCUGGGAAAUGCCCCAUCAUCAGUACAGAGGGAAAGACAGCAUUCAAAACGCUGGGAGGCUUCUCGGGCCAUUUCAUCACAAAAUAAAGCAACAAAC
RNAcentral lists this long non-coding RNA (621 nucleotides) under Capra hircus (goat). Its description in RNAcentral is "lncRNA (ENSCHIG00000001442.1)". The record is from RNAcentral. Lineage: Eukaryota; Metazoa; Chordata; Mammalia; Artiodactyla; Bovidae.